Long non-coding RNA from Agelaius phoeniceus (red-winged blackbird), 2213 nucleotides. RefSeq lists it as uncharacterized. Lineage: Eukaryota; Metazoa; Chordata; Aves; Passeriformes; Icteridae. The record is from RefSeq and is a predicted model, not a curated record.
GUGCCCGCUGCCAGACGCGCGGGGCCCGCAGCCCUCCCGGCCCGCUCCGCUCCCCUCACCUGCCGGGGCCGCCGCCCCCAGCCCCGCUCCGGCCGCGGCCCCGCUCCGAGUGACAGCGCUCACCGCUUUCGCUUUCCCUUUCCUGGCCAAGGAGGGGCGGCCCCGGCUGCCGGCCGCCCUCGGGGAAAGGUCUGGGGGAGCAGGGGCGGGGGAGCCCGGGGGGACCGGCCCGGAGCCGGGGCUGCGAGCGAGCGGCUCCCCCUGCCCGCCUCUCACACAGCGGGUUUGUCCCUUCCCCCGGGCCCGGCCGCGAUUGUCGGUGGAGAAGCGCUUGGGCUGGGCGCCGGAGGGACCAGAGGGGUUCAACAGACGUGUACAGAUGUGGCACUUGGCGACGGGGCUUAGAGGUGGGCUUGGCAGUGCUGGGAAAUGGUUGGACUGGGCGAUUUUAGAGGCCUUUUCCCACCCGAACGAUUCUGUGAGUCCCUGUAGAUAGGGCAGACCCAGCUCCCACAAGGUCAUUUACCUUGUGGGAUUUGACGUGAAGGUACUUGGGAUGGUGGGAGUGACUUCUUCAUGGGAAAGCAGCAACCCCACUACAGGAGAGCUCCCUCUGACCAAUGCCCUCUCUGCAAAUGAGAGCAGGAGCUAUAUGAACUCUGGCGGCUUGGAUAAAGCUAUCAGAACACUGAAGAGUUCUUAUGGCUAAGAACAAUUAAUGGAUAAAUCAAAAGGAAAUUAAGUUGGUUCACCCCAAGGGCAAAGAACCUUCCAGAUGGUCACAAUUAAGAUACUUCAAGAAGUCUCACUUCUAGCAGAAAGCCAGCACUGACACAGCCAAGGGGAGAAAAGCUGGGACUCUCAGAAGUGCUUUGCAGGAGCAAGGAACAUCCUCCUCAGCUGGUCUGCAAUACCCUCCUGCACAGCUGCUCACUCCAGGAGGCAACAGCUGCUACCAGGAAUGCUCACUCAGUGACUGCAGGCUUUUACGGUAUUUUCUUCAGGAAUUUAAUCAAUUACCCGGUGUUCUUGGACAGUUGCUGCUUAUCACUCAUUAUUUACCUUGCCUCGAAGUAAAGCUGACCUAGGAGCCAGCACACUUGUAGUUUGUUAGAAGUCAGGCAAAGAGUCAAGUGACACAGAAGCAUUUGUUUCUGCACAAGAAUUUCUGGAAUGCUGCUCCCAGGAUCUGUUCAGAAGAAUGACCCCAAACGUGAGCACCCCCAGCUCUCCCAGCCCGGCUGCAGAGCAGAGGGGCUCCAGCCCUCAGAGCAUCUCCAGGGCCUCUCUGGACUGGCUCCAGCAGCUCCGGGUCCUUCUGAUAUUGGGGAUCCCAGAGCUGGACACAGCAUGGCAGGCCCUAUUUGUGCUCCACUGCUGGUUUGUGAUUCAUCACCUGCUGGACCUCAACUGGCUUGAAAUCUCUGGAGUCAAAAUUCUGCAGUUGCUGCUCUCCAGCUGCACAGGCUCGAGGGACUCUCCAGUCAUAAGCUCGGGUGGCUCCUCCAUCCCAAACACACAUUCCAAAUGAGGAAGGCAAAGGGCCAGCCAGAUUUCUGAGAACCUCUCUGCAGCAUAAACAUGCUUCCUAAACCCUCAAGAGGCUGUAAGCCUUCUGCUUUCCAGCUCUCAGAUAGCAGACAUAAGAAAGCAUAAACACACCACUGAUGCAGAGGAGUUCUGCACUGAUCUUUUGGCUACAAUGUUACUUUUACCUUAGAAAGGAAAGAGAUGGACAGGAAUUCUCCAUGUUCAUCAAGCUCAUUUUCCUCUGAUGGUCAGAAAGUUAGUAUGUUUUUGAAAGCUGAUGUGCUAAUGUCUCUAAAUGCACACCACAUUCUCCAGCCCACCCUGCUGCAACAUCAGCAUUUCUACUUGUCCAGCAUUUCCUGGAAUAAAAUCCCUAUUUUUGCCCCUGCCUUCUGCUCUUUCACUAUUCAACCCCAUUCAGAGACAGAAAACCCAUCAGUGUUUCUUUCCAAGAACAAGAGAGAAGAUUCCAGAAACAGUGAUCUAGGGCAGAUGUUGGAGCCAGAGUUUAUUUUCUAUUCUCCUGCUGCAGUGCUGGCAAUAGAUGAGUUCUCAUGGCCACGGCAUGAGAAAGAAGAAGAAGAAAAAGGAAAAUAUGUAUUCUAACAAAGAUCCAGAGGAAAAGGUAUCAGAAGGAGUGUGUUUUCUUGGCAUUCUUCUUCUGUUCCAGUAAGGCCAGGAUG